RNAcentral lists this ribosomal RNA (497 nucleotides) under uncultured bacterium. Its description in RNAcentral is "partial 16S ribosomal RNA". It matches the Rfam family "Bacterial small subunit ribosomal RNA", at positions 28 to 507 of the family's 1533-position model. The record is from RNAcentral.
GACGAACGCUGGCGGCGUGCCUAAUACAUGCAAGUAGAACGCUGAAGAGAGGAGCUUGCUCUUCUUGGAUGAGUUGCGAACGGGUGAGUAACGCGUAGGUAACCUGCCUUGUAGCGGGGGAUAACUAUUGGAAACGAUAGCUAAUACCGCAUAACAAUGGAUGACCCAUGUCAUUUAUUUGAAAGGGGCAACUGCUCCACUACAAGAUGGACCUGCGUUGUAUUAGCUAGUAGGUGAGGUAACGGCUCACCUAGGCGACGAUACAUAGCCGACCUGAGAGGGUGAUCGGCCACACUGGGACUGAGACACGGCCCAGACUCCUACGGGAGGCAGCAGUAGGGAAUCUUCGGCAAUGGGGGCAACCCUGACCGAGCAACGCCGCGUGAGUGAAGAAGGUUGUCGGAUCGUAAAGCUCUGUUGUAAGUCAAGAACGAGUGUGAGAGUGGAAAGUUCACACUGUGACGGUAGCUUACCAGAAAGGGACGGCUAACUACGUG